AUAAGAAUUUGGAAAAAUUGAAACGGAGAAAAUAAAAGUUUGAAAAUCAUUAAUGUUUUUCGCAUUUAUUUGGAUUUAGAAUAAUUAAGAUUUUAUUGGGAUUAUAGGUAUAUGCAUUUCAUCACACCGAGUCAGUCUAUCGGCAUUUACGCUUUUUGCUAGACAUUAUAAACUGAUUCGCGUAGCUACUUAUAGUCAACAUUCAAGCGAUGGAAACCACGAAUAGGACAGAGAUGGAGUGAUCCUCCCGGUCCCCCGCGUCCCUCGUCCAUACGAUUACCCGAUCACAGCGACUCUAUGCAGCUAUUCGGAAUGGCAUCGCUAAGCGACCCGCCCCCACCACCAGAGUUUCAAGACCUGUAUGUGAGUAAGACCGUGGCUAGCCUCGUUUCUUUUCAUAAACGCGAUAAAGUCUAGCCGCGCAAACUCAUUUCGUCGUGACGCCCGGAGAAGCGACACGUAUCUACGUAAAAGUGCGUAGAUUGAAAAUUCCAAUAAAAUGCCAGUCGAAUUCCGAGGAAUGGCUGCCGCGAGGAUGGCACGAUGGUAAAAGGGCUAGAAAUUUGCACCAUUGUCCUGCACUGCCGAGAGGACCCGCUAACGCUCGACUAUGGAAAUACGUUAUGAGAGUCUUUAGCUGUAUACAAUCAAUUUCUAUUCGGCGACAAUCAAUUUCAAACUCACGAUUCAGUCAUCUGGGCAGCCAUCCAGUCAAUUCUGAAGAGAAUGCAGAUCUGGAGAGAGCCAGAGAGAGGAAGAAGAAGAGAGGAGAGAGAAUUCUUGUAUAACGGACUAGUAAUUUCAAAUUUUCAACGCUCAGAAUUACUACGUGAAACCUGUCGCUUUCCAAUCCUCGCUACGUUCAUAUCGUUACAGACGAUAUUCGGUCUUUCGACUGACUUCAGGUUGAACUUGUUCCCUUCGAUCCAGCAAUGUAACAAGUAUAUCGGUUAAUUGAAUGUGGAGAAAUCGAAAGUUCGUACCGAGAAGAAAGCCUUCAUUAAAAGAGUCGUAUCUUUGCCAGGUUUCUUGAAAGAGAGAAAAGCCAAGCUAGACGGUAGAUUUUCGUUUCAGAGACUUAAGGGAACUGCUGCUUUUUAUGCCUCGCUUGUUCGACCUUAAUCCCGUACGGUUCGACAGGGGGCAGCCUAGUAAGGCCAGUAUUGCCAGUAGGGAUAGAAUGUACCGCCGUGGCAUCACGGAUGGGGUCUAGGGGAGUUAAGAUGGGGUAGUUGGGUUGUCUUGAAUUUUUUCCUUCGCCAAGCGGCAGCGGAUGAUUCGUCUCGUAAGCAUUUUUCGCGGAAGUCACGUCGCCCUCGUAUUUAUCUAAGACCGUCUGAACUUUUCCUCCCUGGCGCAUUUUUACUUUGUGCUGCCUUUUAUUCCUUUCCUCCCUUCGUCGCAUUCCCUUCGUCAAGGUCUGUCGAUUUUUCUUUCUAACUCUCAAAUAAACCGUCUUGCAAGAAAUUAAGGGCGUCACGCAUACAAAUGCAUGGGGGUUGUUUCAGGUCAAUAGGUCAGAGUAAAGAUCGUGUAUUAAACGCGAGAGGGUCCAUCGGAUUCGAAAAGGGUGGUUUGACCCUCUGAGCCUUGACUUGAUUAUUGAUGGAAUCUCAGGUCACCGGAGAAGCCGUUAUCUUUUUAGCAGCGUCGCGACGCACGUCGUCUCCCUUAUUCAUCACGUGGGCAAGUAGGAAAGUCCUUCGGUUUAACCUGAUUCGUUAACUACGAGGGUUUUUUGGUCGGGUGGAAAAAAGGUUGUGGACCCUUACUCUGAGCUAUGAAAUUACACUUUUUUUUUAUUAAAUUUUCAAAGUCCGCCCUUGGACAUUUAUUAAUCUUUUUAAUAAAUCCCUCUUGGUGUCGUUUUUUAUUUUUUCUUUUUUCUUUUUUUCAUUAUUUUUUUUUAUCGAUUAACACCGAUUUUACUGGCUGCGAUGAAAAAAUUUAUAUUUAACCCGUCGACAAAUAAACGAAAACAGUAUAUCGGCAACGUGAUAGUUUUUUAAAGUUUGAUUAUAAUCAAUGAACUUGAAUAAAUAUCGAAUAUCAAUCGCUGUCGGAAUGCAAACGAACGUGGAUAACAGUAAUAUGAUUCCUGACCAAAGAGAUUUCCGUUGUACGUUUUGAAUUAACGUUGCCAACUGUGUCCUUGGAGAAAAUGCCGCGAGCGAAAUUGCUUCGCAGGAUAAUUCGACCGGAGCUGAAGGGGUGACUCUAGGCAGGACUCUAGGUGACUACUGUGAAAACGAUAAGGGCGAGUUCUCCGAGACAGGGAAAGGGACGAAUAUGAAAAUGAAGCCAAGUUUAUUUCCAUGAAAAUAAUUUGAGACCCCUCAAGUCCAUUCCGUUAACUCGUUUCAAAAUAGCACGUUGCCACUACUGCCUUAACGGUUAAACGAAACGUUAAACAGUUUAAAAAAUGUCUAUUAAUAAUGAAAAUAAAAAGAUGCUAAAUGAAAUAUAAUAAUGAAAAUUAAAAAGAAACUAAAUUAUAGUUGAAAUGACAUAAGAAAUAUUUUACAUAGUAAAAAGUUAUACGUUCCUUUUACAUGGCAAGGGAUUGUUUAAACAAUUAAAAACUUUG
Long non-coding RNA from Cephus cinctus (wheat stem sawfly), 2587 nucleotides. RefSeq lists it as uncharacterized. The transcript has 4 exons. NCBI's taxonomy places the organism in Eukaryota, Metazoa, Arthropoda, Insecta, Hymenoptera, Cephidae. The record is from RefSeq and is a predicted model, not a curated record.